UGGGGAAUUUUGGACAAUGGGGGAAACCCUGAUCCAGCCAUCCCGCGUGUGCGAUGAAGGCCUUCGGGUUGUAAAGCACUUUUGGCAGGAAAGAAACGUCAUGGGUUAAUACCCCGUGAAACUGACGGUACCUGCAGAAUAAGCACCGGCUAACUACGUGCCAGCAGCCGCGGUAAUACGUAGGGUGCAAGCGUUAAUCGGAAUUACUGGGCGUAAAGCGUGCGCAGGCGGUUCGGAAAGAAAGAUGUGAAAUCCCAGAGCUCAACUUUGGAACGGCAUUUUUAACUACCGGGCUAGAGUGUGGCAGAGGGAGGUGGAAUUCCGCGUGGAGCAGUGAAAUGCGUAGAUAUGCGGAGGAACACCGAGGGCGAAGGCAGCCUCCUGGGAUAACACUGACGCUCAUGCACGAAAGCGUGGGGAGCAAACAGG
This 429-nucleotide ribosomal RNA is filed under the name Acidobacteriota bacterium. Its description in RNAcentral is "Acidobacteria bacterium partial 16S ribosomal RNA". It matches the Rfam family "Bacterial small subunit ribosomal RNA", at positions 355 to 776 of the family's 1533-position model. Lineage: Bacteria; Pseudomonadati; Acidobacteriota. The record is from RNAcentral.